UAUGGCCACAUCACGUUGAAACACAGGUUCCCAUACUAUCAUCGAAGUUAAGCAACGACGAACCUGGUCAGUACCUAGAUGGGUGACCGUUUAGUAAUACCAGGUGCUGUAAG
Molecule: non-coding RNA, 113 nt
Organism: Acanthosepion pharaonis
Lineage: Eukaryota; Metazoa; Mollusca; Cephalopoda; Sepiida; Sepiidae
Source: the annotation of a GenBank genome assembly